Molecule: ribosomal RNA, 350 nt
Filed under: uncultured bacterium
Lineage: Bacteria
Description: bacterial SSU rRNA
Rfam family: Bacterial small subunit ribosomal RNA
Source: RNAcentral
AGAGUUUGAUCAUGGCUCAGGAUGAACGCUAGCUACAGGCUUAACACAUGCAAGUCGAGGGGAAACGACAUCGAAAGCUUGCUUUUGAUGGGCGUCGACCGGCGCACGGGUGAGUAACGCGUAUCCAACCUGCCCACCACUUGGGGAUAACCUUGCGAAAGUAAGACUAAUACCCAAUGACGUCUCUAGAAGACAUCUGAAGGAGAUUAAAGAUUUAUCGGUGAUGGAUGGGGAUGCGUCUGAUUAGCUUGUUGGCGGGGUAACGCCGCAAGGCGACGAUCAGUAGGGGUUCUGAGAGGAAGGUCCCCANAUUGGAACUGAGACACGGUCCAAAACUCCUACGGGAGGCA